AAACGACUCUCGGCAACGGAUAUCUCGGCUCUCGCAUCGAUGAAGAACGUAGCGAAAUGCGAUACUUGGUGUGAAUUGCAGAAUCCCGUGAACCAUCGAGUCUUUGAACGCAAGUUGCGCCCCAAGCCGCCAGGCCGAGGGCACGCCUGCCUGGGUGUCAUGC
RNAcentral lists this ribosomal RNA (163 nucleotides) under Durio affinis. RNAcentral describes it as "5.8S ribosomal RNA". It matches the Rfam family "5.8S ribosomal RNA". Rfam says of the family: 5.8S ribosomal RNA (5.8S rRNA) is a component of the large subunit of the eukaryotic ribosome. It is transcribed by RNA polymerase I as part of the 45S precursor that also contains 18S and 28S rRNA. Lineage: Eukaryota; Viridiplantae; Streptophyta; Magnoliopsida; Malvales; Malvaceae. The record is from RNAcentral.